AUGAGUUAUAAGCACAAUGGCACCACCCAUCUAAUGACUUGGGAGGGUUUACUCAAAGAGGAGGUUGGAAAUACUCAGUAGUAGAACUGCUUCAUUCAAUGCAACAACAAACUGAUGAUCUUAUUUUCUUCAAAAUAACCAAACAAACACAAAAAAAGAAAAACACAAAAUGCUCAUUGUAUUCUUUUGCAUUACUUUUAACUCUAUUCUGGUUUCAGGUUCCUCUCUCAGUGACAAGGUUUACAUGAGUCCAGCUGACAUAAUCAAACAACCUGAAGAAACAGCCACAAUCAAAUGCUCACACAGUAUUGACAGCUAUGAUCGAAUCCUCUGGUACAAGCAAACGAAGGACGGUCGACUACAGUUCCUGGGAUACAUGUUUAAAGAAAAUCAAAACCUAGAGUCUUCUAUUGUAGAUGUGAAGAUGGAUGGGAAUGCAGAUAAAGACCAGACCUGCACAUUAACAGUUGAAGGACUGAGCCAGAACAGCAGUGCAGUGUACUUCUGUGCUGCUAGGUUACACAGUGCUUCAUAUCUCUGCUGCUCAGUACAAAAACCUCCUCAGCACACAUUGUUUAAUCUCCACGUUGAAGCUCACAGCCCCUUGCACCUGUGUUCCUUCCUCUCAUUAGGUGGCAGACAAGAUGGUUAUAAUGGGAAGACGAUGAGGAAGUAUUAGACACCACCUAAUGACUUCCUGUUUAUUUGCUGAUAAUAACAAUAUUUGCUCAAAGUGGAGGUUGGAAAGACUCAGUAGAAAACACAAUGAUCCCCAGCAACAAGAUUAUGAUCUUAUAUUCUUCAAUAUAACCAAAGAACUCAAAAUAAUCAUCUUAUUCCUAAGCAUUAUUUUUUAACAUAUCUGGUUUCAGGUAACGUCAUCAAAAUUAUUUCAAAUUUAGAAUUUUCCACAAAAUCUGUUGAUAUAUUUGCUUGUGUACAACAGCCAGUUUAUACUGCUGCUAUUUCAGAUGUUACUGGUUUUAUGUUAUUCAGUUUACUGGUGUUUAUGCUAUUUUGUCUGAUGCUCUGUUGAUCCUUUUUCCACAGGCUCCUCUCUCAGUGACCAAGUCGACCAGACUCCA
This is a non-coding RNA of Sebastes umbrosus (honeycomb rockfish), 1085 nucleotides long. The record is from the annotation of a RefSeq genome assembly. NCBI's taxonomy places the organism in Eukaryota, Metazoa, Chordata, Actinopteri, Perciformes, Sebastidae.